UUAUUGUUCACACAGUUCACAAAGAGUAAUUUAUUAAUACAUUUAGUUACCAAGUAACUGACUCGAUUAAUUAACAAAAAUAACGAGUAACGAGUCUAGAAGGAUCGAAACACGUUAUACGCCAUAUUAGAUAUCGACCUUUGUUUGCACCAACUUCAAGCGUUAGCAUCGUUUCUCUACUUUUGUCGCGUUGUGCUCUGUCUUUCCCUGUCCGUGGUCGGUAUUCCUUUAGUCUCCGGAUCCAAAAAAAUCAUUUAUUUUUGUGCAUUAAAUUUAUUGUUCUGUGCCAUUGGUCAACGUGAACGUGGAAGGAACCACUUUGCG
This is a long non-coding RNA of Polistes canadensis, 324 nucleotides long. RefSeq lists it as uncharacterized. The record is from RefSeq and is a predicted model, not a curated record. The transcript has 2 exons. NCBI's taxonomy places the organism in Eukaryota, Metazoa, Arthropoda, Insecta, Hymenoptera, Vespidae.